AAACAAGCAGAGUCCCUACAGAUGUACUGUGCCUGCUGGCUCAUCUUGUCAGCACUUACCAAGACAGUCUUGUCUUCCCCAGCCUUACUGUUUUUCUGGAUCUCAAAAGUCAGAGAUCCCUUCCUAUUACAUUGCUUUCUCUUGCCAUUGACUGUUUUGUUUGUACUUUGGUUUUCAGUAAAGUUGAAGAAUUAAAGAAAACGUUGCCAAGUACAGAAUGGUGUUAGGGAGAGGAUCCCUGUGUCCUCUUGCAGAGCAUCCCCUAUCUGUAGUGUCCUAAAUUAGUCUGAUACUUUUGUCAGAACCAAGAAACCAAUCUCAAUUCCAAACUGUUAACUAAACUCCAAACUUUAUUUGGAUUUUACCAUCUUUUCUAUAAUGUACUUUCUCUGUUUCAGGAUCCAGUCGAGGAUACCACAUUACAUUUAGUCAUCAUGUUUCGUUUGGUCUCCUCUGUGUAAAGAAUGUCAUUAGGAGUGAAGUGCCCUUCCUAUCUGAUCAUGUUUGGGGAUGAGGGAGGCGUGUGACAUCACUGUACAUCACUGGUGAUGAGUCUUUAUCACUAGGUAAAGUGGUUCUUUCCAGGUCUCUUCACUUCAGCAUGAGUGGUUUUCCCUUUGUAUUCUGUCUUCUUCCAUUCCCUGGCUGUCCCAGAACUUGCAUUGUAAACCAGGCUGGCCUCAAGCUAACAGAUAUCCCCCUGCCUCUGUCUCUUGAGUCCUGGGGUUAAAGCUGUGUGCUAUUAUGCCGGGUUUUACCUCUGACUUUUAAGCUCACUGACUGUAUUGAUAAGAAUUCAGCUGGAGACUGGUGGUGCACUGAGAUAUUUUAACUUAGGAAGAGGUUGUUAACUCAGCGCGCUGCAUGCCAUGGUCUGAUUUGAAGAAUGAUGCCUUUCUUUUGUCUUUUCAGGGGGUCUCAGGUCACUGUCCUUUUUGUAAUAGCUAGUGUUGGCAAUGGUGAGGUAUU
Molecule: long non-coding RNA, 969 nt
Organism: Mastomys coucha (southern multimammate mouse)
Lineage: Eukaryota; Metazoa; Chordata; Mammalia; Rodentia; Muridae
Exons: 2
Source: RefSeq, a predicted model, not a curated record